This 210-nucleotide long non-coding RNA is filed under the name Gallus gallus (chicken). The record is from RNAcentral. Lineage: Eukaryota; Metazoa; Chordata; Aves; Galliformes; Phasianidae.
CCUGUGUGACUCUGAGGACACGACCACCACCCUGGCAGGAGAGGAGCGGCGCAGGAUGUCCUCCAGCAGCUGGACGAGAUAGAAGUGCCCCAGGUGGUUCACCUGGAAGGUGGACUCCAGGCCGUCCUCCGUCAAGCACCACGAAGAACCAAAUAUGGCAGCAUUGCAGACCAGGAUGUGAAGAGGCAUAUUCUUGGAUUUGAAUGCUUC